GAGGAGCCCAGAGCCUGAAUCAGUGUGUGUGUUAGUGGAAGCGUCUGGAAAGGCGUGCGAUACAGGGUGACAGCCCCGUACACAAAAAUGCACAUAUUGUGAGCUCGAUGAGUAGGGCGGGACACGUGGUAUCCUGUCUGAAUAUGGGGGGACCAUCCUCCAAGGCUAAAUACUCCUGACUGACCGAUAGUGAACCAGUACCGUGAGGGAAAGGCGAAAAGAACCCCGGCGAGGGGAGUGAAAAAGAACCUGAAACCGUGUACGUACAAGCAGUGGGAGCCUCUUAAUGGGGUGACUGCGUACCUUUUGUAUAAUGGGUCAGCGACUUAUAUUCUGUAGCAAGGUUAACCGAAUAGGGGAGCCGAAGGGAAACCGAGUCUUAACUGGGCGUUAAGUUGCAGGGUAUAGACCCGAAACCCGGUGAUCUAGCCAUGGGCAGGUUGAAGGUUGGGUAACACUAACUGGAGGACCGAACCGACUAAUGUUGAAAAAUUAGCGGAUGACUUGUGGCUGGGGGUGAAAGGCCAAUCAAACCGGGAGAUAGCUGGUUCUCCCCGAAAGCUAUUUAGGUAGCGCCUCGUGAAUUCAUCUCCGGGGGUAGAGCACUGUUUCGGCAAGGGGGUCAUCCCGACUUACCAACCCGAUGCAAACUGCGAAUACCGGAGAAUGUUAUCACGGGAGACACACGGCGGGUGCUAACGUCCGUCGUGAAGAGGGAAACAACCCAGACCGCCAGCUAAGGUCCCAAAGUCAUGGUUAAGUGGGAAACGAUGUGGGAAGGCCCAGACAGCCAGGAUGUUGGCUUAGAAGCAGCCAUCAUUUAAAGAAAGCGUAAUAGCUCACUGGUCGAGUCGGCCUGCGCGGAAGAUGUAACGGGGCUAAACCAUGCACCGAAGCUGCGGCAGCGACACUAUGUGUUGUUGGGUAGGGGAGCGUUCUGUAAGCCUGUGAAGGUGGCCUGUGAGGGUUGCUGGAGGUAUCAGAAGUGCGAAUGCUGACAUAAGUAACGAUAAAGCGGGUGAAAAGCCCGCUCGCCGGAAGACCAAGGGUUCCUGUCCAACGUUAAUCGGGGCAGGGUGAGUCGACCCCUAAGGCGAGGCCGAAAGGCGUAGUCGAUGGGAAACAGGUUAAUAUUCCUGUACUUGGUGUUACUGCGAAGGGGGGACGGAGAAGGCUAUGUUGGCCGGGCGACGGUUGUCCCGGUUUAAGCGUGUAGGCUGGUUUUCCAGGCAAAUCCGGAAAACCAAGGCUGAGGCGUGAUGA
Molecule: ribosomal RNA, 1263 nt
Filed under: Escherichia coli
Lineage: Bacteria; Pseudomonadati; Pseudomonadota; Gammaproteobacteria; Enterobacterales; Enterobacteriaceae
Description: partial 23S ribosomal RNA
Rfam family: Bacterial large subunit ribosomal RNA
Source: RNAcentral